GUAUAGCUGAACUAUUACUUGGGAAAAAAAUAAAAAGGGCGGGGGAUAGAAAAGGUGAUUUUGGCCUGGUAUCCAUGUUUUUAAGGAAAACUGAUGAAAUGCUCUGUGAUCUUCCUCCACCAGCCCUGCCUAUUAAUUUUCUUUCCAAUUCCUCUCUUGUAAACUUUCUUCUCCUGUUAUGGAAGUUCCUCGUCUGAUUUAAUCUCUUUGUACCUGCCUCCCUUUCAGUCUCUUGAUCCCCACUGUAACUUUUCUCACCUAUUUACUUAUGUUUUCACUCUCUUUGGCAUGGUGGUUUGGUUAUUUCUAGUAAAAAAGAAAAUUGUUCCCAAUCUUGCUGCCUCAAUCAUUCAUUACUGUAUGCCUUCCUGUUCCACCUUGGAGCUCAAGGAGUGCUGUAUAUAUUCUGUUUAUGAAUAUAAAUAUUCAGUGCUAUAUAUAUUCUUCAUUAUAUUCAGCUUUCUUUAAUAAUUUUAUCUCAACUCCCCUUUCAAACCAAGCUCCUGCCCACUUCACUACAAUAAAAUUAUGUUUUUGCCAAAAAUCUUCUCUUACCAAAAUUCCAUCCUCAUCCUUUUUUACCUUCCAGUCUCUUCCAACACUACUGACUUCUUUCUCUUUGCUAAAAAUAUUUUCCUUCCCUGUUUUCUAUAUACCCAUUUUUUUUCUGGUUCUCCUAUUUUCCAAGUUUCCAUCAGAAACCUUCCUCUGCUUCCAAAUUUGUGUUCUUCUAUCAAAGGUCCUCCUCUUUUAUUUCUUUGCUUAUUAUCAACAUCUUAAAAUUUCAUACCUCAUAGACUUGUUUUAAAUGUGUCAAAAUAUCUUUCUUUCCAGAUUUAAGAAAUAAUAAUAAUAAUUAAUAAUAAUAAUACUUUUCUGCCUUGGAAAGUAAUACCCUAACUCAGAUAUAUUUCAAAAUACUGCAGCAGAAAUUAUUUUUCUAGCCUGUCACCAAGUCUCUUUGUUCUGUGCAUAGUUUCAUUUGAUCCUUUUUGAUUAUAAGCGUUAUGAAUCACUUGACUUCACUUUCUUGGCACUUCACAACCUCUUUCAAUUCUAUUGUUCCCAUUUGCUACCAAGAAGCCAACUCCCACUUCAACUGUUCAUAUUUCUGAUGCCAUCACCCAAGCAAGUACUUUUUCAACCAAGAAGUUACAUUUAUCCCUUUCUACUUGGAGAAAAAGUCCUAUAAGCAUUUCUCUCUUUAAUUUCUUCCAAAUUUUUGUUUUAAUUCAACAUCAGAAAGAAAAGAUUUGAGCAAUUACUAGGGAUGCAAUGACAGUCUGUCCAAAAUGGAGGGAGCUGCAUGAGCAAAUCACAAUGAGAAUUUUCCAGCCAAACUGAGCCUUCUGGAUAAAAUACAAUACUUUGACCCCAUAGACAUAUUAAAGAAUCCAAAAUACUAUGUGAGUAAGCUUUUGUGCACAUUGAAAGAAAAGUUUACAAAAACAGCACAUGGAGAUGCAUGUUAUGUGGCAAAGCUAGAACAAACCAGCAUAAUACCUGGCACUUGGAAAAAGAGGUAAGAGAUAAUGGAUAUUGGAUCACUAUAAAAACAACACAAACAACAAAAUAGUGACUGUAUACUUUCCCAGCAGGAAUUUUUCAAUGCUAUAGUGUUAGUACAGCAGAAGAAGAUGAAUGCACUAUUGGCCUGAAAUCAAAUAGAAUGUUGCUUGAGAUAUUAGAGAUAUGCAAAGCCACAGUUGCAUGUGCAACAGAGCUCAACCUAUUUGUAUUUAUACUUAAAGAAAAGAUUUGCACAAAUCUUUUUUAUAAAUAAAGAUUUCAGGUUGGGACUUAAAGUUAUAACCAUACACAAAAUAAGCAUUUAUCAUAUUAAGUAUGUGGGCAAAUAAACUGAAACAAUAUUUGUAACAAUAUCUAGUAAAAAAAAAAAAAA
Anas platyrhynchos (mallard) is the source of this 1903-nucleotide non-coding RNA. The record is from RefSeq and is a predicted model, not a curated record. NCBI's taxonomy places the organism in Eukaryota, Metazoa, Chordata, Aves, Anseriformes, Anatidae.